GGCCUCUUUAGAGAGAAAUGGAGAGACAUGUUCUCUCCAAUUUUCUCCAAAACAAACCCCAAAUGAAUUUUGGCUAUAAAGUCAUAUUUAUAGCUUUAUUCAUUUGAGUGGCAAACUUGUAAAUAAGUCCAAGUUCACUACCCUUAACAAUAUGGCCGGCCAUAGGGUGUAUUUGGGUUGUUUGGGCCUUUGUGAAUAUUUAGACAUUAAGUUGUCAUACAACUUAAGUCAAUGGGCUUGACGUUCGAAGCCCAUUGGGCCUUAAGGUC
This 269-nucleotide long non-coding RNA is filed under the name Malus domestica (apple). Its description in RNAcentral is "long non-coding RNA (MDOM_LNC006026)". Lineage: Eukaryota; Viridiplantae; Streptophyta; Magnoliopsida; Rosales; Rosaceae. The record is from RNAcentral.